This 1590-nucleotide ribosomal RNA is filed under the name Triticum aestivum (bread wheat). RNAcentral describes it as "partial small subunit ribosomal RNA". Lineage: Eukaryota; Viridiplantae; Streptophyta; Magnoliopsida; Poales; Poaceae. The record is from RNAcentral.
AUGCCCUUAUCUGGGAUGGCCAUUGCUUUCAAAGCAAGCACGAGUGCUUGUACUGCACAACAGCUGUGGGGGCAUCCAACCAGGGAUCAGUGUCAGCAUGGUUUCACUCACUUAAAUGAACGAAAGAGCAGAAAAGGCUCUGCUGCACUGCAUGCCAGAGCUAUUCCUGGGAACUUAGACCUGGAUUUCGGUGAUCCUUCUUGGAAGCAAAAGUAUCAGGAAGACUGGGAUAGGCGUUUUAGUUUGCCACAUAUUACAGAUGUAUUUGAUUUAGAGCCAAGGCUCACUACAUUUUCUCUGAAGAAAAACAGUCCCCUGGGCGCUAGCGAUGCUUCAUCACCUGACAAGUGGAAUGGCUAUGUAAAUAAGGAUGAUAGAGCACUUCUGAAGGUGAUUAACUAUGCCUCUAAUACUUCUGCUGGAGCUGUGUGCAUUGAUCCUGAUUGUAGCUGGGUGGAACAUUGGGUGCAUCGUGCAGGGCCUCGUAAGGAAAUAUACUAUGAGCCAGAGGAAGUAAAAGCAGCCAUUGUUACCUGUGGAGGGCUCUGCCCUGGUUUAAAUGAUGUCAUUAGACAGAUAGUAUUUACCCUGGAGAUCUAUGGGGUGAAGAAUAUUGUCGGAAUUCAGUUUGGUUAUCGUGGAUUUUUUGAAAAAGGCUUAAAAGAAAUGCCGCUUUCACGUGAUGUGGUGGAGAACAUAAAUCUUGCUGGUGGAAGCUUCCUCGGUGUCUCCCGUGGAGGAGCUAAAACUAGUGAAAUUGUAGAUAGCAUACAGGCCAGAAGAAUCGAUAUGCUAUUUGUAAUCGGAGGAAAUGGUAGCCAUGCUGGAGCUAAUGCUAUUCACGAGGAGUGCCGUAAGAGAAAACUGAAAGUUUCAGUUGUAGCUGUUCCAAAGACAAUUGACAAUGAUAUACUUUUCAUGGAUAAGACUUUUGGUUUUGACACAGCUGUUGAAGAAGCUCAACGUGCAAUCAAUUCUGCCUAUAUAGAGGCACGUAGUGCAUAUCAUGGAGUUGGGUUGGUCAAAUUAAUGGGAAGAAGCACUGGGUUCAUAGCCAUGCAUGCUUCUCUUUCUAGCGGACAGAUUGAUGUCUGCCUAAUACCUGAGGUAUCUUUUACACUUGAUGGAGAACAUGGUGUCUUGUCACAUCUUGAGCAUUUACUGGAAACCAAGGGAUUUUGUGUGGUUUGUGUGGCUGAAGGUGCAGGACAGGAUUUACUGCAAAAAUCAAAUGCAACAGAUGCAUCAGGAAAUGUGAUACUUAGUGAUUUUGGUGUCCACAUGCAGCAAAAGAUCAAGAAACAUUUCAAGGACAUUGGUGUUCUAGCUGAUGUGAAGUACAUCGACCCAACAUAUAUGGUCCGGGCCUGUCGUGCAAAUGCAUCUGAUGCUAUCUUGUGCACUGUGCUUGGACAAAAUGCUGUCCAUGGAGCAUUUGCCGGGUUCAGCGGCAUCACAUCAGGUAUUUGCAACACACAUUAUGCCUUCCUCCCGAUCACAGAAGUCAUCACAACACCGAAGCAUGUGAACCCAAAUAGCAGGAUGUGGCACCGAUGUCUCACGUCCACUGGCCAACCGGACUUCCACUGA